Molecule: ribosomal RNA, 199 nt
Filed under: uncultured bacterium
Lineage: Bacteria
Description: partial 16S ribosomal RNA
Rfam family: Bacterial small subunit ribosomal RNA
Source: RNAcentral
ACGCUCGACACCUACUGGAGGCAGCAGUCGGGAAUAUUGCGCAAUGGAGGAAACUCUGACGCAGUGACGCCGCGUGCAGGAAGAAGGUUUUCGGAUUGUAAACUGCUUUAGACAGGGAAGAAAAAGGACAGUACCUGUAGAAUAAGCUCCGGCUAACUACGUGCCAGCAGCCACGGUAAUCUGAGCGGGCUGGCAAGGC